This 279-nucleotide ribosomal RNA is filed under the name uncultured bacterium. Its description in RNAcentral is "partial 16S ribosomal RNA". It matches the Rfam family "Bacterial small subunit ribosomal RNA", at positions 506 to 784 of the family's 1533-position model. The record is from RNAcentral.
UGCCAGCCGCCGCGGUAAUACGGGGGGUGCAAGCGUUGUUCGGAAUCAUUGGGCGUAAAGAGCGUGUAGGCUGGUAUGCAAGUCGGGUGUGAAAGCCCAGAGCUCAACUCUGGAACUGCGCCCGAAACUGCGUACCUUGAGUACGGGAGGGGAAAGCGGAAUUCUUGGUGUAGGGGUGAAAUCCGUAGAUAUCAGGAGGAACACCGAUAGCGAAGGCAGCUUUCUGGACCGAUACUGACGCUGAGACGCGAAAGCGUGGGUAGCAAACAGGAUUAGAUA